Long non-coding RNA from Vicia villosa (hairy vetch), 735 nucleotides. RefSeq lists it as uncharacterized. NCBI's taxonomy places the organism in Eukaryota, Viridiplantae, Streptophyta, Magnoliopsida, Fabales, Fabaceae. The record is from RefSeq and is a predicted model, not a curated record. The transcript is spliced from 3 exons.
GCAAGUCACACAAAAAAAUAAAAAAUAAACAUUGGAAUAAAUAUUGAAAACCAAAACAAAAAGAAAGCGAACGUGAGAGAUAGAGACGGCGGCGAGAAGCGGAGGAGGAGGAGUUGCUGUUUCUUCUUCUUCCUUAGGUUUUUUUUUUUUAAUAUACGUGGUAUCUGUAGAGGUUUUUCACCCCACGUAGCUCUUGAGGGUUUGAGAUUUUUUUGGUCCGGGGCACCAUCAAACUCUGAGACUCCAAAGGGAACAAACCCUUGAGACCCGAGCUCCCUUCCGCUGGGCCAACCCUCCAACCCUCUCAGGGUUGUGUGUAGAUAAUAAUAAUGCAAGAUCUCUAUAUUAUACUAUUUGUUAUUCAAUUAGUACUUCUGCAAUGUUAUUAUUGGAGCAUUAUUUACUCUUGAUAGCUCAUGGAAAGAGAUAGCUAGAAAAGAAGCAUUCCCAACAUUCAAUCGUUGUACUCUUCCAUCAAGACCACUUUAUAAUGGAAGCAAUGAUCUUUACAGGAUAACAAAUGCGGGAGUGAUUGUGAUGGAUAUUGAUAAGGAAAUUGUUGUACGAGAAUAUCCUCUUCCUCGUAUAACCAUGAACCCAUUUGAGAUAUUUUUACAUAUGGGCGACCGUCUUUCUCGCAGUGUCUAUAGAUUCUUAUAGAACAUAUCAAAUCUAUAUAUUUGAUUUUGAUUCAGGAAAGUGAUCUCUCUAUCAUGAGAUGGACCCUUUUGAUUA